Molecule: ribosomal RNA, 496 nt
Filed under: uncultured bacterium
Lineage: Bacteria
Description: partial 16S ribosomal RNA
Rfam family: Bacterial small subunit ribosomal RNA
Source: RNAcentral
GAUGAACGCUGGCGGCGUGCCUAAUACAUGCAAGUCGAGCGAACAGACGAGGAGCUUGCUCCUUCGACGUUAGCGGCGGACGGGUGAGUAACACGUAGGUAACCUACCUAUAAGACUGGGAUAACUUCGGGAAACCGAGCUAAUACCGGAUAAUAUUUCGAACCGCAUGGUUCGAUAGUGAAAGAUGGCUUUGCUAUUACUUAUAGAUGGACCUGCGCCGUAUUAGCUAGUUGGUAAGGUAACGGCUUACCAAGGCAACGAUACGUAGCCGACCUGAGAGGGUGAUCGGCCACACUGGAACUGAGACACGGUCCAGACUCCUACGGGAGGCAGCAGUAGGGAAUCUUCCGCAAUGGGCGAAAGCCUGACGGAGCAACGCCGCGUGAGUGAUGAAGGUCUUCGGAUCGUAAAACUCUGUUAUUAGGGAAGAACAAACGUGUAAGUAACUGUGCACGUCUUGACGGUACCUAAUCAGAAAGCCACGGCUAACUACGUG